UUUGAGCAUGGUGUAUGGGUUGCUUCUACUGCUUUGGGAAAAGUCUAACAUGGAUAUGGUUCAUGUGGAGCUGAUGCACAUCGACCGAGCUAUAGGCGCGUUCAGCGUGAUCAGAUCACAUACCGGUGCUAGAGGACACGAGUGGGCCUCUUCUUACAUGCAUCUUCCUAGAUGUAGCCACGUGAGUCUAUGUGGUACGGUUGCGGGUACUGUGGCCUGUUUAGUUGCGAUUUUUUUAUUUAUUUUGGCUACCGUAGUAUUUUUUUUUUAUUUGAUAAAUAUUAUUCAAUUAUAAAAUAACUAGACUUAAAAUAUUCAUAUCGUAAUUUAAAGGUAAAUUGUGCAAUUAGUUUUUAUUUUCGUCUAUAUUUAAUGCUCUAUGCAUGUGCCAUAAGAUUUGAUGUGACUGAGAAUCUUAAUUUUUUUUAAAAUUUUGGGGUAAACUAAACAAGGCUUGUGUACUAGGCCUUGUUUAGUUGAGGAGGUGAAAAUUGUUUGGGUACUGUAAUACUUUCGUUUUUAUUUGGUAAUUAUUGUCCAACCAUUCUCUAACUAGGUUUAAAAAAUUCGUCUUACAAAUUACAGGUAAAUUAUGCAAUUAGCUAUUUCUUUUAUCUAUAAUUAACGUUCCAUACAUGUGUCGCAAAAAUUUGAUAUGAUGGAAAAUCUUAAAAAGUUAUUGGGUUUAGUGUGAACUAAACAAGGCCUUAAAAAAAAGAGCGUGACAGUAAUGGGCCACCUCAAGUCUUGCAUCAAGAUGGGCGUAGUACGGGCACUGGACUACUGGAGUGGUGAAAGGGAAAGGGUUGAUAAGCAAGACCAACGUGCGAAGUGUGACUAGUGUGGCUUGUUGCGAGUUCGUGACGACCGUGGUGUGGCACUAGUAGUAGAUACAUGUGACGACUACGGCGAAGGCCAAGGCCUUGUUUUUUCAAGAUUCCCUAUUACAUCAAAUUUUUAGACGCAUGUAUAAAGUAUUAAAUAUAAACAAAAAUAAAAACUAAUUGUACAGUUUGGUCAAAAUUUACGAGAUGAAUCUUUUGAGCCUAAUUAGUCUAUGGUUAGACAAUAAUUAUCACAAAUAAACGAAAAUGAUACAGUGUCGCGAAUUUUUUCCUUCGUCAACUAAACACGGCCCAAAGUGAUGUAUCUAGGCCUUGUUUACUUCCACCCAAAAAUCCAAUUUUUUUCAAAAUUCCCC
This 1201-nucleotide long non-coding RNA is filed under the name Sorghum bicolor (sorghum). Its description in RNAcentral is "long non-coding RNA (SBIC_LNC011088)". Lineage: Eukaryota; Viridiplantae; Streptophyta; Magnoliopsida; Poales; Poaceae. The record is from RNAcentral.